UACGAAGGUGGCAAGCGUUGUUCGGAUUUACUGGGCGUACAGGGAGCGUAGGCGGUUGGAUAAGCCCUCCGUGAAAUCUCCAGGCUUAACCUGGAAAGUGCAGAGGGGACUGUUCAGCUAGAGGAUGGGAGAGGAGCGCGGAAUUCCCGGUGUAGCGGUGAAAUGCGUAGAGAUCGGGAGGAAGGCCGGUGGCGAAGGCGGCGCUCUGGAACAUUUCUGACGCUGAGGCUCGAAAGCGUGGGUAGCAAACAGG
RNAcentral lists this ribosomal RNA (253 nucleotides) under uncultured bacterium. Its description in RNAcentral is "partial 16S ribosomal RNA". It matches the Rfam family "Bacterial small subunit ribosomal RNA", at positions 524 to 776 of the family's 1533-position model. The record is from RNAcentral.